This 484-nucleotide ribosomal RNA is filed under the name uncultured bacterium. RNAcentral describes it as "partial 16S ribosomal RNA". It matches the Rfam family "Bacterial small subunit ribosomal RNA", at positions 30 to 507 of the family's 1533-position model. The record is from RNAcentral.
AUUGAACGCCGGCGGCAGGCCUAACACAUGCAAGUCGAGCGGAUGAAGGGAGCUUGCUCCUGGAUUCAGCGGCGGACGGGUGAGUAAUGCCUAGGAAUCUGCCUGGUAGUGGGGGAUAACGUCCGGAAACGGGCGCUAAUACCGCAUACGUCCUGAGGGAGAAAGUGGGGGAUCUUCGGACCUCACGCUAUCAGAUGAGCCUAGGUCGGAUUAGCUAGUUGGUGGGGUAAAGGCCUACCAAGGCGACGAUCCGUAACUGGUCUGAGAGGAUGGUCAGUCACACUGGAACUGAGACACGGUCCAGACUCCUACGGGAGGCAGCAGUGGGGAAUAUUGGACAAAGGGCGAAAGCCUGAUCCAGCCAUGCCGCGUGUGUGAAGAAGGUCUUCGGAUUGUAAAGCACUUUAAGUUGGGAGGAAGGGCAGUAAGUUAAUACCUUGCUGUUUUGACGUUACCAACAGAAUAAGCACCGGCUAACUUCGUG